UGGGGAAUAUUGCACAAUGGGCGCAAGCCUGAUGCAGCCAUGCCGCGUGUGUGAAGAAGGCCUUCGGGUUGUAAAGCACUUUCAGCGAGGAGGAAGGGUGGUGUGUUAAUAGCACAUUGCAUUGACGUUACUCGCAGAAGAAGCACCGGCUAACUCCGUGCCAGCAGCCGCGGUAAUACGGAGGGUGCAAGCGUUAAUCGGAAUUACUGGGCGUAAAGCGCACGCAGGCGGUUUGUUAAGUCAGAUGUGAAAGCCCCGCGCUUAACGUGGGAACUGCAUUUGAAACUGGCAAGCUAGAGUCUUGUAGAGGGGGGUAGAAUUCCAGGUGUAGCGGUGAAAUGCGUAGAGAUCUGGAGGAAUACCGGUGGCGAAGGCGGCCCCCUGGACAAAGACUGACGCUCAGGUGCGAAAGCGUGGGGAGCAAACA
Molecule: ribosomal RNA, 427 nt
Filed under: uncultured bacterium
Lineage: Bacteria
Description: partial 16S ribosomal RNA
Rfam family: Bacterial small subunit ribosomal RNA
Source: RNAcentral